UCUGAUCUCAAAUCAGGUAGGACUACCCG
Molecule: non-coding RNA, 29 nt
Filed under: Drosophila melanogaster (fruit fly)
Lineage: Eukaryota; Metazoa; Arthropoda; Insecta; Diptera; Drosophilidae
Also listed under: 1 other name
Source: RNAcentral